UACAGAGGUCCCCAAGCGUUGUUCGGAUUUACUGGGCGUAAAGGGUGCGUAGGUGGUAGGGUAAGUUCAAUGUGAAAGCUUCGGGGCUCAACCCGAAAUUAGCAUCGAAUACUAUCCUGCUGGAGGGUCGGAUGGGAGACUGGAAUUCUCGGUGUAGCAGUGAAAAUGCGUAGAUAUCGAGAGGAACACCUGUGGCGAAGGCGAGUCUCUGGACGAUUCCUGACACUGAGGCACGAAAGCUA
Molecule: ribosomal RNA, 242 nt
Filed under: uncultured bacterium
Lineage: Bacteria
Description: partial 16S ribosomal RNA
Rfam family: Bacterial small subunit ribosomal RNA
Source: RNAcentral